RNAcentral lists this ribosomal RNA (504 nucleotides) under Microbacterium esteraromaticum. RNAcentral's name for it is "bacterial SSU rRNA". It matches the Rfam family "Bacterial small subunit ribosomal RNA", at positions 8 to 525 of the family's 1533-position model. Lineage: Bacteria; Bacillati; Actinomycetota; Actinomycetes; Micrococcales; Microbacteriaceae. The record is from RNAcentral.
AGAGGUGAUCCUGGCUCAGGAUGAACGCUGGCGGCGUGCUUAACACAUGCAAGUCGAACGAUGAAGCCUAGCUUGCUGGGUGGAUUAGUGGCGAACGGGUGAGUAACACGUGAGCAACCUGCCCCUGACUCUGGGAUAAGCGCUGGAAACGGCGUCUAAUACUGGAUAUGUCCCAUCACCGCAUGGUGUGUGGGUGGAAAGAUUUUUCGGUUGGGGAUGGGCUCGCGGCCUAUCAGCUUGUUGGUGAGGUAAUGGCUCACCAAGGCGUCGACGGGUAGCCGGCCUGAGAGGGUGACCGGCCACACUGGGACUGAGACACGGCCCAGACUCCUACGGGAGGCAGCAGUGGGGAAUAUUGCACAAUGGGCGGAAGCCUGAUGCAGCAACGCCGCGUGAGGGAUGACGGCCUUCGGGUUGUAAACCUCUUUUAGCAGGGAAGAAGCGAGAGUGACGGUACCUGCAGAAAAAGCACCGGCUAACUACGUGCCAGCAGCCGGGUUAAUA